GCAAGCCUGAUGCAGCCAUGCCGCGUGUAUGAAGAAGGCCUUCGGGUUGUAAAGUACUUUCAGCAGUGAGGAAGGUGGAUAUGUUAAUAGCAUAUUCAUUUGACGUUAGCUGCAGAAGAAGCACCGGCUAACUCCGUGCCAGCAGCCGCGGUAAUACGGAGGGUGCGAGCGUUAAUCGGAAUUACUGGGCGUAAAGCGCAUGCAGGUGGUUUGUUAAGUCAGAUGUGAAAGCCCGGGGCUCAACCUCGGAAUUGCAUUUGAAACUGGCAAACUAGAGUACUGUAGAGGGGGUAGAAUUUCAGGUGUAGCGGUGAAAUGCGUAGAGAUCUGAAGGAAUACCGGUGGCGAAGGCGGCCCCCUGGACAGAUACUGACACUCAGAUGCGAAAGCGUGGGGAGCAAACAGGAUUAGAUACCCUGGUAG
Molecule: ribosomal RNA, 423 nt
Filed under: uncultured bacterium
Lineage: Bacteria
Description: bacterial SSU rRNA
Rfam family: Bacterial small subunit ribosomal RNA
Source: RNAcentral